RNA transcript from Osmia lignaria (orchard mason bee), 1191 nucleotides. It is a transcript of the gene named peptidyl-prolyl cis-trans isomerase, rhodopsin-specific isozyme, with no coding region annotated. NCBI's taxonomy places the organism in Eukaryota, Metazoa, Arthropoda, Insecta, Hymenoptera, Megachilidae. The record is from RefSeq and is a predicted model, not a curated record.
UGAUCGCAUUUGAUAGACGUCGUUCGACUCGUAAUCGAUGAAGUUAAAACUUGGAAAUUCGGAGUAUUCUGUGUCCAAUCGUAAAAUCAUGAAGAUCCUGUUGGCGAUAGCCUGUUUGGUUGCACUAGCUUCAACUUUAGAGAACGAUAAUCUGACCGUCACCGAUCAAGUCUACUUCGACAUUAUGAUAGACGACCAUCCAGCUGGUCGAAUCGUAAUUGGUUUAUUCGGUGAAACUGUACCAAAGACUGUUAAGAAUUUUCUUGUUUUAUCGACAACUGGAGUAGCAGGAAAAACGUAUAAGGGAAGUAUAUUUCAUCGUGUAAUUAAGAAGUUCAUGGUACAAGGUGGAGAUAUAGAAAAUGAUGAUGGGACUGGAUCGAUUAGUAUCUAUGGAAAAUAUUUUGAGGAUGAGAAUUUUGAACUUGGACACAAUGGUCCCCUGUAUGUGAGUAUGGCGAAUGCUGGAAAGGAUACCAAUGGUUGUCAAUUCUUCAUCACAACCAUAUCUACACCAUGGUUAGACGGAAAACACACGGUGUUUGGAAAGGUUAUUGACGGUGAACACGUGGUUUUUAAAAUUGAACAAACUAGGACAAACGCGGAUGAUGUGCCGAUUAAACCAGUGGUUAUCUAUGAUAGUGGUUCUAUUCCCACGCCUUCGCCUUUUAAAAUAAACGAUCACGUUUAUAAUAUCUGGGCAUGGAUAAAAGCAACAUCGAUACCAUUAGGUUUCAGCUUCUCGAUCCUUGGCUUUUUCCAUUACAUGUUGAAGCAGUUGGAUAUAACGGAGAUAUAAAUACUUUCCUGAAAUUUUAGCAAAGGAUUUAUUUUACAAUAACCCUUGAAAAUUUUAUGGCAAACGAUAGACAUAAACACCUAGGCCAUAAAUAUAAAGAUUUAACAGUAAAACACAAACAAGGGAAUUUAAUAAAUGAUUUAGUGUAGUGACAGUGAGUGUGCGCACGCACUCUAUUGUUUACAACCGCGGCUGAGGUUGCGAUGAGCCUGCGCCGCUUCAGUUCGUCUUCAACGAUUCAUCGAGCAUCACCUGGGUGCUAAUCGGUGUACCGCAAUUUAUUUCAUCAUUAUUCUUUAAAAUUUUAUUAUUUUCUUGUAUUAAACAAUUGUUUUAACAAUUAACAUUUAUUAUUUCAGUAUAUUUGGAUAUGGUGGUAUAAUCUUUUUUAA